RNAcentral lists this ribosomal RNA (380 nucleotides) under uncultured bacterium. RNAcentral's name for it is "partial 16S ribosomal RNA". It matches the Rfam family "Bacterial small subunit ribosomal RNA", at positions 338 to 733 of the family's 1533-position model. The record is from RNAcentral.
CCUACGGGAGGCAGCAGUGGGGGAUAUUGCACAAUGGGGGAAACCCUGAUGCAGCGACGUCGCGUGGGCGAUGAAGUAUCUCGGUAUGUUAAGCUCUUUUAGUAGGGAAGUAGACAUGACGGUAUCUGCGUAAGAAGCACUGGCUAAAUACGGGCGAGCAGCCGCGGGAAUACGUAGGGUGCAAGCGUUAUCCGGAUUUACUGGGUGUAAAGGGAGCGCAGGCGGCAAGGCAAGCCUGGUGUGAAUGCUCGCGGCGCAACCGGGGAACUGCAUUGGAUACUAGCGGGCGGGAGUGCAGUUGAGGGAGGCGGAAUUCGUGGUGUAGCGGUGAAAUGCUUAGAUAUCAGGAAGAACACCGGUUGCGAAGGCAGCUUACUAAA